AGCGGCGGAGCAUGUGGCUUUAAUUCGACGCAACGCGAAGAACCUUACCAAGGCUUGACAUACACCGGAAAACCCUGGAGACAGGGUCCCCCUUGUGGUCGGUGUACAGGUGGUGCAUGGCUGUCGUCAGCUCGUGUCGUGAGAUGUUGGGUUAAGUCCCGCAACGAGCGCAACCCUUGUCCCGUGUUGCCAGCAGGCCCUUGUGGUGCUGGGGACUCACGGGAGCCCGCCGGGGUCAACUCGGAGGAAGGUGGGGACGACGUCAAGUCAUCAUGCCCCUUAUGUCUUGGGCUGCACACGUGCUACAAUGGCCGGUACAAUGAGCUGCGAUACCGCGAGGUGGAGCGAAUCUCAAAAAGCCGGUCUCAGUUCGGAUUGGGGUCUGCAACUCGACCCCAUGAAGUCGGAGUCGCUAGUAAUCGCAGAUCAGCAUUGCUGCGGUGAAUACGUUCCCGGGCCUUGUACACGCCUCCCGUCACGUCACGAAAGUCGGUAACACC
This 500-nucleotide ribosomal RNA is filed under the name Streptomyces sp. RNAcentral describes it as "bacterial SSU rRNA". It matches the Rfam family "Bacterial small subunit ribosomal RNA", at positions 928 to 1421 of the family's 1533-position model. Lineage: Bacteria; Bacillati; Actinomycetota; Actinomycetes; Kitasatosporales; Streptomycetaceae. The record is from RNAcentral.